UGGAAGAAUACUUUGGAUGUAACAACGCUGCUGUUCUGGCUGCAGCCUUUGCGUGUUUGUAGAGUUUUACCCAACUCUGGGUUUGUCAGCAAUCCAGGCUGCACAACACAUAAAUGUAGCAGUGCUGGGAGCCAACAUGUUUGUGGAUUUAAUGGGAAUUGCAAAACGCUGAAACAUCCUGUUCCAGAAAGGAGACUAAUGCAGGAGCAAGAGGUUAGAAAAAGCCUCUCAGGAGAAAGAAGUGACAAGUUUGAAGACAUAAGUGUGUGGCAGAAAGUGAGAAAGAAUUGCAAUUUCUCAGCUCUUUGGCAGUUACCUACAAGGUGCAGAUGAGACAUGUGAGAGCCACUUUAUCCUACCUGGAACAUUGGAGCUGAUUACCAAAGACUUUUCUAAUGUGUCCCUGGAGAAUCACGGAGCGAUACAGACAAUUCCAGCAUCUCACUUGUACCUCAGGAAGCAAGAAAGAGCUACG
Lagopus leucura (white-tailed ptarmigan) is the source of this 475-nucleotide long non-coding RNA. RefSeq lists it as uncharacterized. The transcript has 3 exons. The record is from RefSeq and is a predicted model, not a curated record. NCBI's taxonomy places the organism in Eukaryota, Metazoa, Chordata, Aves, Galliformes, Phasianidae.